This 126-nucleotide microRNA precursor is filed under the name Myotis brandtii (Brandt's bat). RNAcentral's name for it is "mir-9193 microRNA precursor family". It matches the Rfam family "mir-9193 microRNA precursor family". The record is from Rfam by way of RNAcentral. Lineage: Eukaryota; Metazoa; Chordata; Mammalia; Chiroptera; Vespertilionidae.
CGUGCACUGGUGGGGUCCCUCAGCCUGGCCUGUGCCCUCUCACAAUCUGAGACCCCUCAGGGGAUGUCGGAGAGCCAGUUUCGGCCCGAUCCCGCAGGCCAGGCUGAGGGACCCCACUGGUGCACG